Long non-coding RNA from Pocillopora damicornis (cauliflower coral), 297 nucleotides. Lineage: Eukaryota; Metazoa; Cnidaria; Anthozoa; Scleractinia; Pocilloporidae. The record is from RefSeq and is a predicted model, not a curated record.
UAUAAGGACAACAUUUUUUUCUUGAAUGCACGAGAGAGGUCGAUGGUCGUCCUCCAAUCGUCAAUGCUUCAUGAAGAUAAGCGGUUACAAGAGAAGUGGAUUGCUGUUUGUGAUGUGAGUCACUUGAGAAUUUGGUGACGUUUUCCAUAGCCAAGACGACUAUCAUACAACACAAGGACAGUCAAAAGAGCUUCAUGAAGAAGGCACUACAGCUGGUAUUCAUUAACAAGAAAACACAAUAACGAUGGAUUCCCUUUUAGUAUGGAGCACCGUCACUCUGAUUAUACUGCUUCGAAC